UCCCUCUUAGCUCAGUUGGUAGAGCGCGUCACUAGUACUAUCGGAGUUCAUGACGAGGUCAGUCGUUCAAAUCGGCUAGCGGGAA
RNAcentral lists this transfer RNA (85 nucleotides) under Artomyces pyxidatus. RNAcentral describes it as "tRNA-Thr". It matches the Rfam family "tRNA". Rfam says of the family: Transfer RNA (tRNA) molecules are approximately 80 nucleotides in length. Their secondary structure includes four short double-helical elements and three loops (D, anti-codon, and T loops). Further hydrogen bonds mediate the characteristic L-shaped molecular structure. tRNAs have two regions of fundamental functional importance: the anti-codon, which is responsible for specific mRNA codon recognition, and the 3' end, to which the tRNAs corresponding amino acid is attached (by aminoacyl-tRNA synthetases). tRNAs cope with the degeneracy of the genetic code in two manners: having more than one tRNA (with a specific anti-codon) for a particular amino acid; and 'wobble' base-pairing, i.e. permitting non-standard base-pairing at the 3rd anti-codon position. The record is from RNAcentral. Lineage: Eukaryota; Fungi; Basidiomycota; Agaricomycetes; Russulales; Auriscalpiaceae.